GACGUAGGGCGCGAGCGUUGUCCGGAUUUAUUGGGCGUAAAGAGCGUGUAGGCGGUUUGGUAGGUCCGCUGUGAAAACUCGAGGCUCAACCUCGAGACGCCGGUGGAAACCAUCAGACUAGAGUCCGGAAGAGGAGAGUGGAAUUCCUGGUGUAGCGGUGAAAUGCGCAGAUAUCAGGAAGAACACCCGUGGCUAAGGCGGCUCUCUAGUACGGUACUGACGCUGAGACGCGAAAGCGUGGGGAGCGAACAGG
Molecule: ribosomal RNA, 253 nt
Filed under: uncultured bacterium
Lineage: Bacteria
Description: partial 16S ribosomal RNA
Rfam family: Bacterial small subunit ribosomal RNA
Source: RNAcentral